Molecule: long non-coding RNA, 6421 nt
Organism: Vespula vulgaris
Lineage: Eukaryota; Metazoa; Arthropoda; Insecta; Hymenoptera; Vespidae
Exons: 2
Source: RefSeq, a predicted model, not a curated record
UUUAUGCGCAACACGUAUUUUUCAUUCUCUAAUAUCGAGGUCACUGUGUUACAGAAGAACAACUUCGAUGAAAUAUUGCAAAUCGAAAGAGUUAUUUGAACAUUUAUUCGAUGUGACAGUAGUUGAAGGUGUUAUCGUCGAAAGUUUAACGGUCGUUUGUAUCUGUGAUUAUGAUCUAUUGGAUUGAGUUUAGUUACGGAAAAGACGAAGAAGGAAUUCAAAUUUGUUGAUCGAUGAUUUGAGCUUUUCUUGAAAUUUUUAACUUUCUCAAUAAUAUUCUAUUUAUUUUCGUGUAUCGGCACUGUUCGGCAUAACCAGCACAGUUGUGAGAGAGUUUUAUUGCGAAUGUCAGGGCCGACGGGCCGGCCAUUCCUUUGUAAGAGUACCGUCAGAAAUAAGCAUAUACGAUCUAUGUAUCCGAGAUCAUGACGAAUCGCAAAAUACGUAUAUAGUAUAAAUGUGUACGCAGCGAUACUUGCUUGUUCUCUCUCGUAAUUAUAUCACUAGGAGUAUUCUCCUUCCGUAUAUUUCGUACAUUUGUUCGUAGAAUUUUUGCAUAGUUUACAUCGACCCUGUUACAUAGUUAUAUAAGUAUAUUCAUCUGUAAUUAUUAACGAUGUUAGCGAGGCUACUCUUUCCGAGUAAUCGAGUUUUCCUUUUCAUAGGUCAUACGUAAAUCUUAUUUAUUCUACAAUGAAGCAUUAUUGUGUGAUAACACGAGGUGUGUUCUACAGUUUCCUCAUUUCUUUCCGAAGAACUACUUACAUCAAAUAGCUUAAAUUAUUGUCGUCUUUCGACAUUAGUCAUUCUGUACACGUACUUACUGUUCACAAAGUCAAUGCCAUGAUUGCAUGACUUGGCUGUGAACGAUUCUUUAGGAGGUUUAUUUUGCCCAUUGGAAAAUUACUGAUGCAAGAAUGGCACGAUUGGAAACAGAGAGACCACGGAGAGUGUCCUUCGACGUUGGAAAAAGCCCAAAAUCGUUAGGUGUAAAUUUCAGGUGAGUAGGGAGCAUGAGGAAUCACUUCAAAGUUGUUCGUCGUGAAGAAUUUCUGAAGACUGUGGUCGAUCAAUUUCCAGUCGUGCUGCUCUUGUAUCAGCGAUUUUCCAGUGAACAAGACAGACUCCGAAAGAAUUGUUCACAGCGUCCGUAGAAUCAUGGCGUAGACGUUGUGAAAAAUGUGUACGUGUAUAGAAUAAUUAAGUUGAGAAAUGACAAUAGCUUCAUUUUUCUGAUUCUAUAAGUAACUUUUCAGAAAAAUAUUAAAAGACCUUAGAAUUCGAAUGCAUCUCUGUAAUGUUUGUAUGUAGUAAAAAUGUGAUAAGUCAAUAUCUAUUUAGAAGCAAGUAACCAGCUAAUGAUAAUCAGUUAUCUCAUCACUAUGAUUAUUUGUAAAUAACGAAAAUUGAAAAUAAACUUUACGUUUUAAAGAUAACUUUCGACUCGAAACUCAAAUCAGGUGGAUAUUAAAUGCCUAUUACGUGGAAUCAUCAUAGAAAUCGAAUAAUCGUUGCGAUAUGAAAACUGUCAUUAUUGGCUUUUGUCUUACUUCUAGAUAGAUAUCAUUGGCUCGUCACAUCUGCACUACAUAUAAGCAUUACCGAACAUACUGAUAUGUUUCGCUAUAGAAUAAGAGCGGAGAGAUUACGUAAGAUACAGAAAAAAAACUUUGACUACAUUAAAGAGGGAAUUACAGUUAUGAAAAAUGAAGGGGUUACAUACACCUAGGCGGUUCCCGAAAAGGAGAUUUUUAUGGUUUUUUCGUCCAUGUAAUUUAUUUUUUUAAUAAAGGAGCAUUAAGGUUGUGUGUACUUUGAGGAAUAUUUUUCAACAAAAAAAUGAAACCAAUCCGUUACGUUGUUGGAGUUAUCGAUGUCGAACGAAGCAGAGUUAUUUUCUAUGGCAUUUGCGGUGCCAAUAAUAUCUCCUCAGGGUAUUAUCAAAAAUGAAAAAAGUGAAAGAACUCUUGAAGUACAUUAAAAAAAUCAGUCCUUCACGAAGCCGAUUUUUAAUAUACUCAUUGUAUAAAAAAAUGUGAGUGAUUGAAUUUAUCAUGCGAUUUCCGAUAAAAAAUCUCAGUAGCUUCUUAAUAAUUAAAAAAAUACUAGGGUUCUUAAAAAAAUUUCCAUAUGACAAAGAUUAGAUAAUAAUAUGAGAAAUAAUCAUACCAAAUUUCAUUUAAAUUGGCUCAAUAGUUCUCAACAUGACCUUGACACCGAUUUGAAAAACAUAGUUUUGAGAAAGCAGCGUUUAAAGUUUAGAAUAUAUAUAAUAUUAAACUCGGUAGGAUCGAAACAAUUGUAUUUUUAUUAAUUUUUGGAAUUUUCUGAGGAAAUUUUCAGAGAAUAUUCUUAAAAGAUAAUACUGUCGAAAAAAAAUUUGUUUGAAGAAUCGAUCUUUUUUGAACUUUCUCGAUGUAUGUAACUCCUUAAGGUCACAGUUUUUUAUUUUCUUGUCGCCGAAAUUUUCUCGAUUUUUUUCUAUUUUUUUCCUUACGUUUUCAAACACGAUUCAAUCUUUCCGUGCGAUCAUCUUCCAUCGAGUUGAUUGGAUGAAACUGCUUUCGCCAUGAUUUUGUUAUUAUCUCUUUUUAUUUGCUUAAAUAUAUUACAUUGCCUCGUGCAAUUUACUGUCACUAAUUAACUUUUGUCUUUAGAACAGCACCGACUUAUAAAAUAAUUGGAUCACAUAAUGUCGAAAAGUCAGUGAUAAAAUAUCAAAGCUUUGUUUCUGAGAGUUUCGUCGAUCGGACGGGAUUAAGAUAUUUCCUCAAAUUCGAUAAGAUUCUCAUGACUUGUGAUCGGUUUGUUUCAAAAGGAGAGAAGACGAUGACGAAGAAAAAGAGAUGAGAGAAAGAAAGAGACGGGUGGGGAAAAAAUGCCACCACAGCGUGAAAAGACCAGCAAUGGUAGCUUGUUAGUGCGAUACGACACCAUAAAAAAAAGGACGAAAAGAUUGAAGGUCCUUUUCUGGAGCCACCUGCUGUUACGACUGCAAAAGCAACUGUAAGCGCGGUUGCCACUCGAUUGGUCCUUACGAUGACAGACGGGUGCAACGUGUGGGGCAAUCAGAGGGAACAUGGGAAGAAUCGAGGAUGGCUUCACGCAUUCCCAUGCCCUGAUUCUCCGAUUUCUACCUUUCUCGUAAUCGUUUUUCUCUUAUCCCGUAAACUUACACUUCUAUCAAAACAAACUACGAUAAGUAUUAAUUAAUAGCUAUAUAGAAUGUUAACGGAUUAUUAAGUAACUUUCUUUUCUUCCUUUUUUCUCUUUUUUUGUUUCCCUUUUUUUCUUGCCGACAGACGGUUCUUAUCGAUUGAUGAUUUUUAAAAUAGAUUUUAACCACGUAACGAAUCUGAUUAGAUUAGAAUAUAUUCGAAGGUGUAUUCUAUUUUUUAUAUUAAAAAAAGAAAGAAAGAAGAAAUGGCCGAUCAAAGAGCCAAAGAAUAUAUGGUCCAUUUAGAUUCUGCAGACCACCAAUGCGACGACUUUUUCCGAGAAACCAUAAAAUCACUUAAUCUUCGAGUAUCCAAGUUAUGGAUGGUUAUAAACGGUUUCGUGACCACGAAUCCACGAUACUGUUACGGAAGAUGAAGGGGAGAAAAGAGAGGAGAAUGAGAAUCUCAUCGAUCGAGCAGACAUUAAUUUUUAUUAAACGAUAUAAUAAGCAUUAUUAUGGGCAGUAUAGCGAACGCAGGGAUUGUAUGAUAACGAUCACAAUCGAACAGUACCCAUAUGUUUAUUCUGCAACAUUUUAGGUAAGAUCGAUUUUAACGAACGUUAGCAGAAUAUUUCUAAAGUUGUCUCAUUAUAUAAAAAAUCGCUACAACGAAGAGAGAUAGGAGUGAACAAAAAAAUGAGCAAAAGUCGCUAAAUUGAUUAUACUAGAAAAAUAAGGGAGCGAAAACUAGCGAAGAACAAAGAUAGAAGAAAAAGGAAAAAAAGAUCAAAAAUGCAAAUGGAUGGGUUCAGUUUCAGGAUUCUGUAGGUAUCGUAUCCGUGCAUCUUCGCUCGCUUGACUCCAUCGAGAUUUCUCUCUGAAAGAAUAUGCAGCAUACCCUUGCAAAAGAAGGAAAGAAUCGGCGAUUUUGUCGUUUAGAAUAUAAUAUAUGUCGGUUGGUGUGCAUCUUUCAGGGAACGCGGACCAAUGCGCGAGAUUUGAAUCGCUUUGAAAGUCGAUUUGGCUUUCAAACGUCACGAGAAGAAGUCGAUGGCCUAUCUCGGUCUUUCGGUCUUCGUUUCUUUUUUGUUUUUUUCUCUAUCUCUUUCUUUCUGACAUGCGUAGUCCUAUCUGGCCGAUCGGCGGGACGACAGCUUUGAGCGUGCCCUCGAUUCCGUGAGCCAUAAAAAUUCGAUCGAAAUUCUCUUGGGGACUCUCGAGAGAUCGUGCAUCAAAUUGCACGCGCAUCAGACGGUGCACGUGCGCUGUCGAGCAAGUCGAUGUCGUCGAAUUUCAAAUUUCUCAUUUUCUUUUCGUUUUUUCUCCUUUUGUCUCUUUGUUAUUUUCUUUUUUUAAACGCUUCGCGUAGAAGUAGCUCGAUCAUUUUGUAGAGCCGUGUGAAUUCCAUUUCGAAGUAGUAGCCACUUAUCUAUCUAUCUGUAUAUAUAUACACACACACACACCAGGUAUAUAUGUAUAUACAUAUAACUGUAUAUACAUGUGUGUGUGUGUAUACGCAGGAGUAUAGAGAUAAUCGGAAGAAAAAGUUCUUUCUCUAAAGAGCGAGAGCAUUGAUUUCAUUAAAUGAAAGAGAAAGAUAACUCCUCACGUGUUAUUUAUUAUUUUUUAUUUCCUUCUUUAAGAAGAUAUUUUUCGGCCAAAAAGAUUUCUAGAGAGUCUUCUCAGAGAAUAAAAAAUGCACAAAGAUUGUUAAUAGUAUACCAAGAAUAAAUCGAAGAAAAUAAAGAAGUAGCAGCAAAGAGAUUCGUCGUCAGCAGCGGGCGUUCUAUGCACGUGGGAGCGAUUGUCGGUCGAUCGGUCGUCGAUCGAUUGUCGAUCGACGUUGAUGCUCUUGCUUACAGAAAAAAGAUUCAAACUCGACAAAGAAAGAGAGAAAGAGAGAGGGAGGUCAGAGAGAGGGAAAGAGAGAAAAAGAGGGAGAGAGAGAAAGAGAGGGAGAGAGAGAGAGAGAGGGAAUAGACAGAGAGAGAGAGAGAGAGAGAGAUAAAGAGAAAGAGCAUUCUUUAACCGGCAACGAUGAUCGCUAUGAAGGAUCGCAGAGCGUGGUGGGAGGGCCGAAGGAGGUGACGGGCUGGAGGGUGCAAGAAGAGGUGAUGGUAGUGGUAUGGUGAUGGUAAGGAGGAAGGGGUGGAAGAGUGGGGGGCAACGAGCCAUAGGCGUCAGUCGCGCCGACAGCGACGGCGACGGGCAGACGCACGGCCCCGCUACACGCGAAUGCGUAAGAUACUACGCUCGCGCGUUAAAGAGGGGGAAAAGAGGAGGGGGACAAAAAGAGAGAAAGAGAAAGAAAAGAGAGAGAGAGAGAGAGAAACAAGGCGCCGGGAGAGAAAACGAGAGCGCGUAUAUAGGGGAGGCGAAGGAGGAAGAGGAGAAGGAAGAGGUGAAGGAAGAGGAGAAGGAGGAAGCAGAGGGAGAGAGUAGAAGGAGAGGACGAUGGAGAAAGAAAGAAGAAGAAGAAAGAGAGGAGGAGGCCACCACUUCGACAUAUAUGCGGUGAAACCGCGCGCCUCCUGACUCAGUGCUUGACAGGCUAGCAAGCUUUAAGGAUCUGUGGGUACCGCGCCUACCAGCAAUCCUGAACCCCUCCCCCACCCUAUCGACUAGACCUUUUUCACGCGUGAUACUUUCGCUCUUGUUUUAUUUCUCUCUGUCUUUUUUCUCUUUCUAUUUAUCUCUAUCUCUUUUUUCUUUUAUUCUUUUGCCAUCCCAGAGAAAAGAAAGAAAUAGACACCACGAGGGGAUCAGCGUCUCUCAUUUUCUGUUAACUCAGAAGAGGGUACGCUACUCUUGUCUCUGGAGAACCAUCUCGAUCCUGACAUAAUAUAGGAAAAGAAAGAUCUAAGGAGGAAGAAUCGAAGAAAGAAUCACGAUUGCUAAAAUUGCCAAGGUCGAGCGUGCCGGUGUUGUCUUUGCGAGAGGAAUUGGAGAAAGAGGAAGAAGAAAAAGAAGAAAUAGCGGUGACGGUCGUUCAAAAGGGGGGCAAUGUUCAUCGGGAGGAUGCAUAUCGUCAUAGGAGAGCAGGCCAAGGUGCAUCGGUGAAGAAGCUACGUUUUGAGUUUGAGUACGCGUGCGAUAUUCUUCGAGACAACGACGACGAUGAAGAGACCGGGCCGGAACUGAAGGUCACGAGGGUGCAGCGGGACCGCUCGUCGCACUCUUCGUCUCUUUCUCCUCCCACCCUCUCUCAAUAUAUAUAUAUAUAUAUAUAUAUAUAUAUAUAUAUAUAUAUACAUACAUACA